This 207-nucleotide long non-coding RNA is filed under the name Vigna radiata. Its description in RNAcentral is "long non-coding RNA (VRAD_LNC005995)". Lineage: Eukaryota; Viridiplantae; Streptophyta; Magnoliopsida; Fabales; Fabaceae. The record is from RNAcentral.
UAUGAAUGAAUAAUACAAGCUAAAAGCAAUGAAUGUAUGCAUGGCUAAAAACCUACAGCUGAAACCUGAAUUUUACAGAUUUACAAAACCUGAUGCAGAUAUGAAGGUUCAACAUAAAUUCUGUCCACAAUGCUAUCAAAUGCAGAAUGAAAAAAAAAAAAAAAAUACUACGUACGAAUGGAGAUAAACUGCAGAUGCAAUGGUUCC